ACCAGAUAGUGAGUUCUCUACACAGAAGGUUCAACAUUCAGGAUCUUCUAAAUUGGUGGAGCCGUCUCAUCUGCAGGUGUUUAUCGUUGCAGGAGCUGUCUCAUCUGCAGGAGCUGUUAUCUCGUUUCUGGGUUCAGAGCGGGCUGGCUGCCUGUUGUGAUUGAGGUUUACACAGAACUUCUUCCCCUACCAAGGGCAAUAAAACCCUGAAAUUCAAGUCAGUGUCCUUCAAGAACUGGAUUCAGCACCGCAAAACUGAAACCGCCUCCAGAAAAGAGCCUCUUGCGAGAACGCAGAGGCUUGCCUUUCUCUCCUGUCGCUGAGAGUCCCUGGCUGGCUUGGGGACCCCAUGGUGCUGCUCGCUCUUGCCUGUUGCUGGUGGGGGCUUCCUGCUCCUGACCUCAUACUACCUCUGCGGCAGAGGGCCUGAGACAGAGGGGAUCCCUGCCCAUCCCGCCAGCCCUCUUCUCAGGAAGCUUCUGGAAUCUCCACCCAAAAACUUCACUGACAUUCUGCUGACCAGAGCGUGGUCAUAUGGCCACCCCAUCUCACAAGGGGGCUGGAAAAAUGCAUUUUCUUCAGCUGCGCACCUUAUACCCCACAGCAGUACCUACGGGCCUGGUAGUGAGGAAGAGGAUGGGUAACGGAAGUUAGGUCAGCAGCUAGCAGUGUUGGCCACCAGGGGAGAGUCACAGCCACUUUCUGGGCCUGGUGGUGACUUCACAUUGGUUGCCAGGAGGAUGAUUUUGAAGAUACCGCCUGUCGAGCCCUCUUGUAACUAAUCUUCCAGUGUCUGCCGCUGAAGGUGUCCAGUAGCUAACUUCAGGACUCUGUCAUCCCCUCUUCAUUUGGGGGAAUUUCCUCUACUUACUUGAAACAUUCAGAUUUUCCACUGUCAGUUUUGGGUGAAUGAACUAUGCUUAUUACUUUUAAUAAAAGUCUUCAAAAUCU
Molecule: long non-coding RNA, 951 nt
Filed under: Homo sapiens (human)
Lineage: Eukaryota; Metazoa; Chordata; Mammalia; Primates; Hominidae
Description: HSALNT0116586
Source: RNAcentral